RNAcentral lists this long non-coding RNA (862 nucleotides) under Brassica napus (rape). Its description in RNAcentral is "long non-coding RNA (BNAP_LNC021263)". Lineage: Eukaryota; Viridiplantae; Streptophyta; Magnoliopsida; Brassicales; Brassicaceae. The record is from RNAcentral.
UCUUAACACGGAUAACUCCGGCAAACUUGGCCUAUCAAUCUCGACAAGCGCUCUUUGGCCCUCGGUCAAUUACGCCUUCCAUUAAAGGUACAAACCAGAAUUUGGCAUCCCCUUUAAGGACGAUCGUAAACUAACAUGACCUUAAUGUUAACACGAAUGUACCAUGGUCUAAUCCUUGACCUAGAACAUCCUUGGCUAUCUGAGUGAACACAUCCUUCAUGCCAAGCCAAACUAUUUGAGAAACCAUCGCUCCAUCACUUAACGGCUAAACAACAAUCUACGAUUUGUCUAAAAACGUCGUGUGACUAUUAAGAGAAUAAUUAUCGUAUAGCCCACAAUCGGAAAUCAUAUGAUAAGUUCGUAACAAAACUCAGUCCUAAUAACCAAACAAAUAACGACCAAGUUCGAUACAUUCCACAACCAAAAAUGCACGAAAUAGAUCUCGAAAGGCCAACACUUCACAAAGCACUAUGAAGGAAAACGCUUCUUCCCAUGGACAAAUUUAUGCGACCCCUCGGUCCUAAUUCCUCGAUCGCAGACAAACCAAAAAAUGUUUCUCCGACGUAGGGUUAAGACUAAACUCUUAAAACACCGUGAAACAUCUUCAAGCCCGCAAACAUUUCAACCACGAAAACGCGGCAUGCAAAAGAAAAACCAACCUUCAGUAUCGCGAGACGUCGCAGACACUUGAAGAAUAAGUUUUUUCGACAAAAAUACCUUCCUUAAUAAAAACACAUUAUUGGAAAACCAAACAGUCAUACGCACAAACAUCUUCUCAAACACGUAUCCUUCGCGAAGAGUCAAAACGGUAAUAUCUACCGAUAAAUUUGUUGCUGAUCAAAACAAACUCUCAACGUCCUAA